Molecule: ribosomal RNA, 301 nt
Filed under: uncultured bacterium
Lineage: Bacteria
Description: partial 16S ribosomal RNA
Rfam family: Bacterial small subunit ribosomal RNA
Source: RNAcentral
CAGUAGCCGCGGUAAUACGUAGGUCCCGAGCGUUGUCCGGAUUUAUUGGGCGUAAAGCGAGCGCAGGCGGUUAGAUAAGUCUGAAGUUAAAGGCUGUGGCUUAACCAUAGUACGCUUUGGAAACUGUUUAACUUGAGUGCAAGAGGGGAGAGUGGAAUUCCAUGUGUAGCGGUGAAAUGCGUAGAUAUAUGGAGGAACACCGGUGGCGAAAGCGGCUCUCUGGCUUGUAACUGACGCUGAGGCUCGAAAGCGUGGGGCGCAAACAGGAUUAGAUACCCCUGUAGUCCCUGUCUCUUAUACA